This is a non-coding RNA of Cajanus cajan (pigeon pea), 45 nucleotides long. Lineage: Eukaryota; Viridiplantae; Streptophyta; Magnoliopsida; Fabales; Fabaceae. The record is from Rfam.
UAAACGGAUUCUUUAGAAUCCAUUAAAACCUAUUUGUACACUUUA